CUCAUUGCUGUUGUACUCCGCUAACACUCUCUAUCCCAUGCUUCUGCUUAUUCUUCUCGCCUGCCUGUCUAACGCUGCACGCAACAUGCUGCCCUCCAUCUCAUUCCACAGCAAACAUGACUAGCUUGUAAGAAGAAAAUUUGCCGAGUAACAUGAUUGAACAAUAUGAUCGAGCGAUACAGACAACAAGGCACAGUCCAUUCACUACGCAAAAAGUUGGUGGAAGGAAAUGGUCAGUCGGCAAAAGACAACAAAAACAGCACAAACAAAAACAUUACUAACAAAACACAUUUGAUGCACAUAAAACUCGUCCUUCCCUCGUCUUUCUAUGAAUAACUAAAAAAAAAAAAUUAAAAAAAAAGUUAACCAAAACAAACUAAGUAAUUCAUUUAAUAAAGACCAAACAAAACAACUAGUAAUUCGUCUUUUUCAACAAUAGUAAUUCGUCUUUCAUCCUUCUAUAACCAACUUUUCCUUCUAUUCAUAAUCAUCCUUCUAUCUACUAAUAUCAUUUUACUGAUUAUUUUUACCACCUUCCUUUACUCUCACCUUCUUAUUACUCAGCCUACCUACCUACCUCUUCCUCCCUUACUCUAG
This is a non-coding RNA of Schizosaccharomyces pombe (fission yeast), 597 nucleotides long. The record is from the annotation of a GenBank genome assembly. Lineage: Eukaryota; Fungi; Ascomycota; Schizosaccharomycetes; Schizosaccharomycetales; Schizosaccharomycetaceae.